GAGGAAUAUUGCACAAUGGGGGAAACCCUGAUGCAGCGACGCCGCGUGGGUGAUGAAGGCCUUCGGGUCGUAAAGCCCUGUCGGAGGGCAAGAAAGGGUGAGUAGCUAAUACCUGCUCACAUUGACGGUACCCUCAGAGGAAGCACCGGCUAACUCCGUGCCAGCAGCCGCGGUAAUACGGAGGGUGCGAGUGUUAUUCGGAAUCACUGGGCGUAAAGCGAACGUAGGCGGAUAGGCAAGUCAGAUGUGAAAUCCCGGGGCUCAACCUCGGAACUGCAUUUGAUACUGCUAGUCUUGAGUAUGGUAGAGGUAGGUAGAAUUCCCGGUGUAGAGGUGAAAUUCGUAGAUAUCGGGAGGAAUACCAGAGGCGAAGGCGACCUACUGGGCCAUUACUGACGCUGAGGUUCGAAAGCGUGGGUAGCAAAC
RNAcentral lists this ribosomal RNA (426 nucleotides) under uncultured bacterium. Its description in RNAcentral is "bacterial SSU rRNA". It matches the Rfam family "Bacterial small subunit ribosomal RNA", at positions 356 to 773 of the family's 1533-position model. The record is from RNAcentral.